RNAcentral lists this ribosomal RNA (166 nucleotides) under uncultured bacterium. RNAcentral describes it as "partial 16S rRNA". It matches the Rfam family "Bacterial small subunit ribosomal RNA", at positions 354 to 511 of the family's 1533-position model. The record is from RNAcentral.
GUAGGGAAUCUUCCACAAUGGACGAAAGUCUGAUGGAGCAACGCCGCGUGAGUGAAGUAAGGUUUUCGGAUCGUAAAGCUCUGUUGUUGGUGAAGAAGGAUAGAGGCAGUAACUGGUCUUUAUUUGACGGUAAUCAACCAGAAAGCCACGGCUAACUACGUGUCAG